UGGCGGCACUAGCGCGGUGGUCCCACCUGACCCCAUGCCGAACUCAGAAGUGAAACGCCGUAGCGCCGANCGGGGUUGCGGACAGUGUCUGGUGGGUAGUUUGACUGGGGCGGUCUCCUCCCAAAGC
This 127-nucleotide ribosomal RNA is filed under the name Klebsiella pneumoniae. Lineage: Bacteria; Pseudomonadati; Pseudomonadota; Gammaproteobacteria; Enterobacterales; Enterobacteriaceae. The record is from RNAcentral.